UUACUGAACACCACCGUGUGCCAAGUGCCCAGCACUGGGAGUAAUUUUUGUUUGGUCAUCGGCCACCAAAGAGUUGUAAGAGCCCAUACUUGGCUUCUGGGGGAAAUGACAUUUGCUCUGACAGACUUCCUGCUUGGCUUCCUUGGUGGCUCAGACAGUAAGGAGUCUGCCUGCAAUGCAGGAGACCUGGGUUUGAUCUCUGGGUCAGGAAGAUCGCCUGGAGAAGGGAAUGACAACCCACUCUGGUAUUCUUGCCUCGAGAAUUCCAUGAACAGAGGAGCCUGGUGGGCUACAGUCCACUGGGUCACAAAGAGUUGAACACGACUGAGUGACUAACACUUGCUGAAUGUAGGAGGCUCAGUGAGAGGUAACUUGGAGAAGAUAGGAGGGAAGAGAGUUCUAGGCAGAGGGAGUAAUGGGGUGAGUGGGACCCAGUUAGUAAUGAACUAUGUGAAGGUAUUUAUCCUAAGAGCAGUAGGAAGGGUUCUAUGCCAGGCUGGGGUCUUGGUCACUUGUGCAUCCCCAAAAGCAAAAAACGGACAGAGAAGGACCAGAGGAAGCUGGGAGACUAGUGAGGAAGGGCAAGGGAAAGGCAUGGCUGGUUGGGGUAGGGGCUGUGGCCAUGGAGAGAUCCUGGAGGUGAGGCUCGUCAAUGUGGUGAAGGCUGGGUCCUGGGCAGUGGGGGGAGAGGGAACAAGGACUCCUGGGUUCCCGCCUCUUCCGCUGGGAUGCAUGUAUGUGUGGGGAGCAGGGUGGUGGCCACGGAAAGAUGAGCUUGUUUCCUUGGAUGUGUAAGCUCCCUGAAGCAGGGAUGGGCCCUCACACUCCAUGUCUCUCCCAUGGGCCUUUAUGCCCAAGAGGAUUUCAGAAGACUUGUUCCUGGUUAAGGUGAGAAAAUUACCCCUGUUCCCCCAUCGGUCAGCAGACUUGACCAUGGACACACCCCCUUGGACUCCAAGGCUCUCUGCGUUGGGGGGUCGACCCUGUGCUCAUCUCUUGGAGGAGGCCCAGCCCCUCCUGGGGGCUCCCCGCUGGGACUGGUGUGCCGAACCUCCCUGUUCUUAACAGGACUGACUGGGGUGGGUCUCCCACCGCCUCACUGAGGCAGGCCCGGGUUUGGCCGCCCUCCCGGCUGUGUUGUAUCCAGUGGGAAACAUUUAGAAUAUGUGAACGUAAGUGGCUGCUGGAGAGAAAUCUACAAUUUCUCCUAUUAUUGGGAAAGAGCUAGGCUACCAUAGGCUACCAGAUGUUCUAUGUCAUAUAAUGGUAUGUUUUAUGGCAAAUGAAAAUAUAUAUAAAAUCUGUACCCAGAGAGCUCCCUACUUGCUAAAAGGGGGCUAGAUCCUUCUUUUUAUUCUUACCCUUUUCAGAUUUUUAGGCAAGAAUUCCCUUUCGGGCAAUGAACUUAUCUGCCAAGUUGGGGCCCAGGGGGAACCCUUAUGGGGGACUCGUAAACCCCGUCUUUUGAGGAAAUCUUGGGGCUGAGGCCACAUUCAGCCCCACGUGUUUACACAAUACUCUCUCUCAGCUCUGAGGGGCCAUUAGAGUUAAUUGGGUGAAUAAUCUGUGUUUAAAAAGUCCCCAAAUACGUAUUUACAUAAUCCACGCUUUGCCCAAGCCUGCUCAAGCCUAUUUGUGGGAUCUGGAGUGGAUCUGGGCUGAGCGUCUUCCUCCCGUGCUUCUAGAGCAGCUUCUCCUGUUGGUGACCAUCCUUCGGUGAGGACGGGGACAGGCAGGCUUCCCUCCUGGCUGAUGGCGUGGUGGGGCCUAUUAGUGUGGGGUCUUCCUGAGCCUUGGCCAAACACGUGUUUUGGAUCACUGUCCUGAGAGAUGCUGUAUGGGGAAAGAGGUUCCAUGGUUCAGUAAGUUUGGGAAGCACUGCAUCUUAUCUCCUCUCUUGGAGAUUCCCUGUGCUCAUUAUUCCACCAGGACUCCAAGAAGUCCUACAGUAGAGAGGUGGAUUUAGCUGUGUCUAAAUCCAGCUUCCUUCAGAUGUUAUCUGAUCUCAGCAUCUCCAUCCCUAACUCUGAUGAAUAGCCCAAAGAACUAGCCUUCUGUAGAAACACAUUGGGAAACAGCAAUCCACCCCCACUCCGUCCUUUUUUUUUUUUUUUUUUUAAAAACCAGGGGGCACUUCGAGUUCUGGCCACCCACCCAGACAUUGUGUGUACUGCCUUUGGUCGAGGCCCUUGUGUGCAGUCAUGUUGGCUGUGCACACACAACCCCCAAGAAUGCUUUUCACAUGACCACAGCCUUGCUGGUUCUUGGAACAGGAAAGACUCCAGGCAUUAGAGGCAGACCCAGGGUGUUGCAUGGAGACACGGCAUUCUCAGUUAGGGAGCCCUUACAGCCUGCCCACUCCUGUAGUUCUGUGCCCCGUUAGUUGCUGGCAUCCUUUCUAUAACAUUGUCUGUAUGGGUCACUCCAGCCACAGGAAUUCUCUGGGCUGGUUUGGGCACCAGGAAGGAUGAAUUCAGAUGCACUCAGGCCAAGCCUGCUUCCAAUAAAAGCUGAGCACUCACCCUCGGGAGUAGCCCUGCUUAUCUGUCUUCAUGAGGUUCUCAGUCUUGGCUGCACAUGAGAAUCACCUGGAGAGAUUAAAAAAAAAAAAAAAUCCUGAUGUUGGGUCAGAACUCUGAUUUGUUAAAUCAGAAUCUGGGUGGGUAAGAAACCUGGCUCAAAUAAAUGGUCAAGCUUCCAGGUGAUUCCAAUGUGGCUCCAUGAGGAGGUGGAGCGCAGCCACACUGGAGCUUUGUCAGGAGAGCUGGCGGGGUAGGAAGGGGAGCAGAAGUUCACGGCGCUACUCCGGGCUCAACCACGACUGCAUGAAGGACCAGACCGCCCACCUUCUCCAGUCCUGCCUGGGCAGCCCUCUGCAGUGUGGCAAGUCCCUGGGUGAGGAAGAAGAAGCGUCCUGCCGUGUUUACCCUAGGGACGCCUUUGUUGGGUGGUCCUGAGAAGGAUGACGGCCAACAUUACCAAGCAGGGUGUCUGCUGUGGGCCAGGUACUGUAAGGAGCUGUCCAAAAUGGGAAUGGUUUUCACGGCACAGUCAUUUUUGGAUAAGAAAGUCUGAAAUGAGAGAAUUCUGAACGCAGAACAAAGCAGAAGAGCCUGCCACAACAGUGCAUGCUGCUGCUCCAGACCACCUUGUGCUUCAUGAAGGGAUUUGCGUGAUGCGUUGGAAGACUGCUCUGGGCGAGGCGGAGGAGGAGGAUGGGAGUCAUACCUGUGCGGGGUUGCAUACCCAGGAUGGAUGUACAUCUUGCAGAAGACCUGGCCUGAGGAAAGGCCCAUCACAGGGCACAGAGGAAGAGAGUUCUGGUGCAGGACCCACCUCCUCUGCCGUCACUACCUGUCCAUCAGUGAUGAUGCUCUUAGAGAUCACAGGCUUGCUUCACCACUGACCCCAGGAUUCCCUCCAGCAAACAAACGUCCACCCUGGCAGUCAUAGGUCCUGCCUCCCACAUCUUUGUUUCUCCUCCUGGCCAUGGGGUAGGACUGGGUUUCACUCUCCCCUGAUGUUCAGUGUGGCCAUGUAAUUCGUCUUAUUUUCUCUUUCCCUCUGGCACAGAAGUCCAGAGAAUAUCUAAUCUGUCUUCUUGGAACCCAGAGUGAAGACGGCAGGGCAGAAACCCCAGCCGACCUGCAGUGGGUGUGUUGUGUAGGCUUGAGGCUGUUUGUUAUUGCAGCAUCACCGAGCCCAUCCUGAUGGUCUAAGUGAGGGAAAAUUC
Long non-coding RNA from Bos taurus (domestic cattle), 3733 nucleotides. Lineage: Eukaryota; Metazoa; Chordata; Mammalia; Artiodactyla; Bovidae. The record is from Ensembl.